GGCCCGUUGGUCAAGCGGUUAAGACACCGCCCUUUCACGGCGGUAACACGGGUUCGAAUCCCGGUCGGGACC
RNAcentral lists this transfer RNA (72 nucleotides) under Listeria monocytogenes. Its description in RNAcentral is "tRNA-Glu(ttc)". It matches the Rfam family "tRNA". Rfam says of the family: Transfer RNA (tRNA) molecules are approximately 80 nucleotides in length. Their secondary structure includes four short double-helical elements and three loops (D, anti-codon, and T loops). Lineage: Bacteria; Bacillati; Bacillota; Bacilli; Caryophanales; Listeriaceae. The record is from RNAcentral.